GGCCGUGUGGCGUAAUGGCAACGCGUCUGACUACGAUAGCUGGAGAGUGGGCUGAAAGUAAUCAGGAGAUUGCAGGUUCGACCCCUGUCUCGGUCA
This is a non-coding RNA of Termitomyces sp. T32_za158, 96 nucleotides long. The record is from the annotation of a GenBank genome assembly. Lineage: Eukaryota; Fungi; Basidiomycota; Agaricomycetes; Agaricales; Lyophyllaceae.